CGCCCACUCAGUGUAAACUUAAAUGUGUUUUUUGCCCUUCUGUCGGUUUCCUAUAUUUCUGUGAGAGAAGAGCAGCGCGCUGCCGCCUCUAAGCAUCACAGUCCUCAUGUCUCACAGAAUGAUGGACAGCUGUCACUCACAGUCACAGCCCAGAGAUUUCAACAACCUCACUCAGACAUGCAGCUCAAACAUCCAGAAAAUCACACAAAACACUGGUCAAAUCAAGAGCAUGCUUUUCCAGCUUGCUACCAGACCAGACACACCAGAACUUGAAGACAGACUCCAGCAAAUGCAGCACUACACAAACCAGUUAGCAAAAGAGACCAACAGACAUCUGAAAGACCUGGGCUCUUUCCCACAGCCGCAGUCCCCGUCAGAACAGCGGCAGCAGAGGAUUCAGAAAGACCGUCUGAUGAAUGACUUCUCAGCUGCUCUCAACAACUUCCAAGUGGUCCAGCGGCGAGCUGCAGAGAGGGAGCGUGAAUCAGUGGCACGGGCUCGAGCUGGCUCCAGACUAAACGUUGAUGAGCUCAAUCAAGAUGAACAGCUUGUGACAUUUGAAAAAAAUGAAGGGUGGAGGAUGCAGACCGAAGAAGAGCCUUUCACUGAAGAGGACCUUGAGCUUAUUAAAGAGAGAGAGACCAAUAUCCACCAGCUGGAGACGGUAAUUACACAGCAAUUCUCAGACAUGGAUUGUAGUAAAAAGUCCCAACUGCUUUCUGUUCUUGAUUCUGGAUUCAGUCGGACAUUAUGGAUGUGAACCAGAUCUUCAAGGACCUUGCAGUCAUGAUCCAUGACCAGGGUGACAUGAUCGGUUAGUCUAGCUCUCUUCGCUGAACCCCGUUUUUUGCACUGAUUUUAAGGCCUGCUUUCCUCCUGUCAUCAUUCACAGAUAGCAUCGAAGCCAACGUGGAGAGUGCAGAGGUACGUGUGGAGCGAGGAGCUGAACAACUCCAGCAGGCGGCGUACCAUCGGAGAAAAUCCCGCAAGAGGAUGUGUGUUCUGGCUCUGAUCCUGUCGCUAGUGGUGGCCAUCUUUGC
Molecule: RNA transcript, 1040 nt
Organism: Carassius auratus (goldfish)
Lineage: Eukaryota; Metazoa; Chordata; Actinopteri; Cypriniformes; Cyprinidae
Gene: stx12l
Gene name: syntaxin 12, like
Exons: 9
Source: RefSeq, a predicted model, not a curated record